CAGGCCUAACACAUGCAAGUCGAACGAGAUCUUCGGGUCUAGUGGCGCACGGGUGCGUAACGCGUGGGAAUCUGCCCUUGGGUUCGGAAUAACAGCGAGAAAUUGCUGCUAAUACCGGAUAAUGACGUAAGUCCAAAGAUUUAUCGCCCAGGGAUGAGCCCGCGUAGGAUUAGCUAGUUGGUGGGGUAAAGGCCUACCAAGGCGACGAUCCUUAGCUGGUCUGAGAGGAUGAUCAGCCACACUGGGACUGAGACACGGCCCAGACUCCUACGGGAGGCAGCAGUGGGGAAUAUUGGACAAUGGGCGAAAGCCUGAUCCAGCAAUGCCGCGUGAGUGAUGAAGGCCUUAGGGUUGUAAAGCUCUUUUACCCGGGAUGAUAAUGACAGUACCGGGAGAAUAAGCUCCGGCUAACUCCGUGCCAGCAGCCGCGGUAAU
Molecule: ribosomal RNA, 435 nt
Filed under: uncultured bacterium
Lineage: Bacteria
Description: bacterial SSU rRNA
Rfam family: Bacterial small subunit ribosomal RNA
Source: RNAcentral